This 3034-nucleotide long non-coding RNA is filed under the name Lytechinus variegatus (green sea urchin). RNAcentral's name for it is "uncharacterized LOC121429597". The record is from RNAcentral. Lineage: Eukaryota; Metazoa; Echinodermata; Echinoidea; Temnopleuroida; Toxopneustidae.
CGGCCACAGAACAGCCAAAAAAAACCCGGCCUAGUUAGGGUUAACUAGAAUUGGAGCUAUAAGUUUUAUAGAAAUGGGUAUGUUCACAUUUCUAGGAUCAUGCAAUCACAUUCUGUAUUUUAACCUAGUUUAUUAGUAUCCAUCUUUGAAAUAAUCAAUAAAUUGUGUGAAAACAUAAUAUUUAGAAAGUUUGAAAUUUUAAUCUUUAUCUGAUCUCAAUCAUAUCAUGUCUGUUGAUCGAGAAGAAUCUAAAGGUCCUACCAUUUCACACUCAAUGCAGUAAGUAGCGUGUACAGGCUUAAAAUUAUGAUAGUUAAAGGAGAUCAAAAUUUGCAAAGUACUAAAAUUUACAAGAGCAAAAUAUUUACUCUUCGUUCUUAAUUAAUAGAAUUUUUGUUCUUGCUGACAAGUAAGGGACAAUUUCACUGAGCAUCUCAUAUGCAAAAACUUAUCUUUGUGAAUGGGUUAAGUGAUAGGCCCAUUUCAAGAACUGUAUGUAAUUGUUCACCAAUAAAUUUCCAUAUGAAUUCAAUACAUUGAUUAUUGUAUAUAUAGAAUGAAAGUGAUUCCAACUCGUGGAGACAAAGAAAGACUGGAGUCAGUUGGGUCAUUUUAUCAAGAGUGUAGAGAUUUGCACAUAGUCUUCAAAAUUAUUCUUGAUUGAGCCAUUUUUUACACACCUAUUCUUUUUCUUUUUUUUUCACGCAGAGAAACAUAAGACUGCCCUGUUUAAAUUCCCUCUUUAUUCUUUUCAUUUGAUGUUGAAAGAGUUUGAGAGACUGUCAGAGGACCCAACUAAGCAGAAGUUGGAAGCAGGACAUUUGAAUAUGCUGAUCCAUUACUAGAGAUAUGCAAGACUCCCAAGCAAGGUUUGGAGCUCAAACACCUGAUCUUGGCUGCAGCAGCAGAAAAUGAAGACACCAGGAAAAGUAUGUUAUGGAGAUGUUUGAUAAGGAGUGGGUUUGCAAUAAUUUUAUUCUUGGGAGGAAAACUUUGAAAAUGGUUAAAGAGUUACUUUACUUCCCCCCCCCCCCCCCCCGAGUUUUACCAGCCCCAAAUCCAUAUACCCCAUUUUAAUUUCAAGAGAGAGAAAGACAAUAAUUACAUGGCUCCAAAGUGUACUCUUCUAUUUAUACCUGAUGUGCAAUUCAAAUGGUUAAAGAAGGAUGACCCAGGCCAGUUGGUCAAAAUGUAUAUUGUAUACUGUAUAUUUUUAAUAUUUCUGAAUGGACAACCACAAAAAUACUGAUAUUCUGGAGUUCGAUUUACAUUGCUUGAGUUUAGUCUUCAUUUUUUUUUCUUUGCAGUUAUCAAAUCAUGUGGAGCACUUCUGUUGAUUCCUACUAUUUUUGGAGAGAAGGCAUUGCUUUGUCAGCAUAGCCAGGAUAAAAAACGGACCAAUCGCCAAAAUCAUCUACAAAAGUAAGCCCGACAGUGCAGGUCUGACUCUGAGCAGUGAUCAUGAAAAAUUCACGGAAAUUCUGCAAUCAUCCUAUAUUACAGCAGAGAAUGAAGUCAUUUAUGAGAAAACCACCUACCUCAUGUCAGCAGUCUCUCUGCUUAUGUCGGCCCAUUAUGUAUUCAACUGAUCAUACACCCCCAAGAUGGGUAACACCCUCACAUUCAUUCAGAAGAUUCUGAUGAACAUAGAUUCCACAUCUCAACCCUCAUCCAAGGUCGUAAGAAGCCUGUAUGACUUAAAUGCUGUCCGAAAUGCUGAUGCCAGUAGUUCUUCAGUUUAAUAGAAAUUAAUUACUUGGGUGAUGCUACUGCAACACAGCUGAUCACACUUUCUCUACGUGCAAUCACCUUAGGUGUUGUAUCUGUCUUUUAUGUGCAAAAUAGAUUGAAAUAGAUACGACAGGUUGACCGUGAAUUUAGACAUCAAGUAUGUGCAUUAUUUUGCUUUGCUUCAGUACAAAUUUCAGUGGCCCUUGAAUUGGAAAUCUUUUCAUAUCCCAAGAAUUACAUAUAAAUGCUUAAUGAAAUUUUUGUCACAGAUAAAAUAGGAUUUUGCACACACAAAAAAGAAAAGAUAUUUGGACCCAAAAUUUUUACAGAUCAGAUGGUCAACAAUUUUUUUUUUUUUGGGGGGGGAAUUGAAGACUAAGCUAUUAAUAUUCUACUUUUUGAUUUUUGUACACAUUUUGUUACUGUACAUGUAAAUAAGUUUAACACCACAAAUUUGAAGAAUUACAACAUUUUAAAGGUUCUCUAUGGAAUUUUAGUUAGUUUGUAAGUUUCAAGCAACUUAGUAUUUAAUUCCAAGAAUUAUACAAAGGCACUUUUCAAGAUUAUGGCUUCCAACAUCAGUACAUGAUGGAAACAAUUCUCAAUGUUUACAUUUAUUGAGAUGGUAAGCACAUGCAACUGAUUUGAAACUAAUUUUAUAAAUUUGACAAAGCACUGCCAUUAAUUUUAAGCCAAUCUGCACACUUCCAAGCAUGUCAAAGGUAUUGCUUAAUAGCCCAAUCACCACAAUUAUCAUUGCCUUUAAAAAAAAUUGCACAAAUAUAUUUAAAUAGAAAAGGUCAGUAUCUGCUUGAAGAUACAGCUGCUAUAGGAGGCAGAUUUUGCGGAAAAUACCAGGGCUUCACGGUGAGAGAAUGGGGGAUUCUGCGAAGUGCUUUAAGAAUUAAUUGAGAAUCCAAAUUGCACAUUUUGAAAUUGUCUUUUGUACUAUUAGUAGUAAAAUAUUUUUGUGGGUUUUCCUACAGCAAAAAUUGACAUUUGGGGAAUUCCUGUGUCAUGCAUGGGGAUUCUUAAAUUUAAAUUGUGUUUGUACGUAUGCUUAAGUUUGAAAAAUUGACGUUUUGUGACAGCUUUAUCUUUGUUUAGUCGGUUAAACCAUGUUGCCAAUCAGUUAUAAAAUCUAUCACUCUCUCUUGAUAGUUUUAUUUUUUAUUUGAUGAGAGGUAGCAGUGCACUUAUUUACAUGUUUGGUGACUGGAUUCUAUGCUUGAGAAUAGAUUUUAUUAUAGAAAGAAAUGCACAGCAACCAUAAUUAUUUUUCAAGUAAACUCUUAAACAUUUA